GAUGAACGCUGGCGGCGUGCCUAAUACAUGCAAGUCGAGCGAACAGACGAGGAGCUUGCUCCUCUGACGUUAGCGGCGGACGGGUGAGUAACACGUGGAUAACCUACCUAUAAGACUGGGAUAACUUCGGGAAACCGGAGCUAAUACCGGAUAAUAUAUUGAACCGCAUGGUUCAAUAGUUAAAGACGGUUUUGCUGUCACUUAUAGAUGGAUCCGCGCCGCAUUAGCUAGUUGGUAAGGUAACGGCUUAACAAGGCGACGAUGGGUAGCCGACCUGAGAGGGGGAACGGACACAUUGGAAGUGAGACAAGGGACAGACUCCUAAGGGAGGCCACAGGCGGGAAUCCUACGGGAUGGGGGAAAGCCGGACGGAAGAAAGGCGGGGGAAUGAUGAAGGUCCUCGGAUCGGUAAACGCUGUUAGUAGGGAAGAACAAAUGUGUAAGUAACUAUGCACGUCUUGACGGUACCUAAUCAGAAAGCCACGGCUAACUACGUG
Molecule: ribosomal RNA, 497 nt
Filed under: uncultured bacterium
Lineage: Bacteria
Description: partial 16S ribosomal RNA
Rfam family: Bacterial small subunit ribosomal RNA
Source: RNAcentral